GAGAUUCAAAACAAACCCCGAUCGAUUCGCCAUAUUUGACAACUUAAGCGGCAUUUAUCACUCGAAAAUCCGUAAACAAAUCCUUACAGAUUUCGAUGCGUUUACAAUCACGUUUCUUAAUGAAAACGGAAUAAAUAACCAUCCGUGGUGGCCGUUCUUACAGCAUGAAAAUGUCGCGGUAUAGUUCAGAUUGUAAAGUUUACGUCGGCGAUCUCGGCAAUAACGCUUCCAAACAAGAAUUGGAGGAUGCUUUUGGGUACUACGGUCCACUCCGUAACGUUUGGGUGGCUCGUAACCCACCGGGAUUUGCUUUCGUUGAAUUCGAAGAUCCGAGAGAUGCCGAAGACGCUAUUAGAGGUUUAGACGGUAGAACGAUUUGUGGUAGACGAGCACGAGUUGAGAUGUCUAAUGGAAAAACUGGUGGUGGUGGACGUUACCGUGGGCCUCCUCCGAGAUCGAGGGGACGUCCUUUUCACCCGGAUGAUCGUUGCUAUGAAUGUGGGGAUCGUGGGCAUUACGCAAGAGAUUGUAAUAGAUAUAGACGAGGACGACGCAGGUAUAGUCUGUGGGCGGUAGUCAGGUAACACACGGUGUGAAUAUGAGUUUGGGGUGACCUCUAAGAGUCUCUCGUACCUACAUCUUCUACUACGUAGUACAGCUCUGCUAGUGCGUGCGUUAUCGUCCCCGGAGACACUCCUCGGCUGCUACCGCCACACGUCUCGGCACCUCUCCCGGCGGCGUACAAACACACACAAAAAAUAGGGCUUGGGUUUACAAAAAAAAUUUUCCAAAAAAAAGUGUCGUAAGGGAGAGAGAAAAUAAGAAUAAGAAGCAAGCCAACGGCAUCGCCCCAUGCAGACCUCGGCAGCCCGCGUCAUAACCAAUUGAAAUUUGCAAAACCGUUUUCGGCCAGUCUCGCUCUGCUAUACGUCAGUCCGUACUUCUUGACUUCUUCUUAGUAAUCUACUAGAGAACCACGAUCGUCGCGGUCUCGGGAUGCUUCUAGCACACAACGUUUGCUCUCUGUGACAGACCGACAACGAACGGUCUAGGUCCAGAUCGAGAAGCCGUUCGAGGGAUCGUCGAAGCCGAUCAAGAAGCGCGUCCAGAUCGAGGAGCCGCUCUCGCAAUCGUUCUAGGUCGAGAUCGGGUUCGGGAAAGCGAAGCCGAUCUAGGAGCGCGGACAGAAACAGCGCGUCCAGGUCGAGAAGCCGAUCG
RNA transcript from Onthophagus taurus, 1218 nucleotides. It is a transcript of the gene named serine/arginine-rich splicing factor 7, with no coding region annotated. The record is from RefSeq and is a predicted model, not a curated record. NCBI's taxonomy places the organism in Eukaryota, Metazoa, Arthropoda, Insecta, Coleoptera, Scarabaeidae.